Dreissena polymorpha is the source of this 481-nucleotide long non-coding RNA. RefSeq lists it as uncharacterized. The record is from RefSeq and is a predicted model, not a curated record. The transcript has 3 exons. NCBI's taxonomy places the organism in Eukaryota, Metazoa, Mollusca, Bivalvia, Myida, Dreissenidae.
UAUUGUUAACAUUGUUAAAGGUAUAAUAGACAUUACACCUAACGUCAAAGUAUUUCACAUAUGCUUUCAGGACGGCGAUGAUUUUGUUGACGGAUACCGCAAUCGUUUCUGUCAAAUAUCGAAGUUACUGCCGACGAAAGUUAAAUCAUGAGCACGCGCCCGCGCAUCUAUUUGACCCAGAAGAUACCGGAAGAAUGCGAGGGAUGGCGUCUACUCAGGGAAUCGUGUGACGUCAAGGUUUACGACGAAAUCGAAACUGGUCACAUGAUUGUACCACGUGACCAGUUACUGCGGGACGUCCGCGGUGUGGAUGCACUUUAUUUGGCAUUGCCGGUGCAGGUCGAUGCGGAACUCCUCGACGCCGCUGGCCCGCAGUUGAAGGUAAUAGCUACCAAGUCCGUCGGCUUGAACCACAUUGAUUUGGCAGAGUGCGCCCGACGGAAUAUCCCAGUUGGCUAUACACCGGAUGUGCUUACCGAUG